RNAcentral lists this ribosomal RNA (253 nucleotides) under uncultured bacterium. RNAcentral describes it as "partial 16S ribosomal RNA". It matches the Rfam family "Bacterial small subunit ribosomal RNA", at positions 524 to 776 of the family's 1533-position model. The record is from RNAcentral.
UACGAACCGUACAACCGUUAUUCGGAAUCACUGGGCUUAAAGGGUGCGUAGGCGGCCAUGUAAGUGAGGUGUGAAAUCCCUCGGCUCAACCGAGGAACUGCGCUUCAUACUGCAUGGCUUGAGGGAGACAGGGGUAAGCGGAACUGAUGGUGGAGCGGUGAAAUGCGUUGAUAUCAUCAGGAACACCGGUGGCGAAAGCGGCUUACUGGGUCUCUUCUGACGCUGAGGUACGAAAGCUAGGGGAGCAAACGGG